This 253-nucleotide ribosomal RNA is filed under the name uncultured bacterium. RNAcentral describes it as "partial 16S ribosomal RNA". It matches the Rfam family "Bacterial small subunit ribosomal RNA", at positions 524 to 776 of the family's 1533-position model. The record is from RNAcentral.
UACGUAGGGUGCGAGCGUUAAUCGGAAUUACUGGGCGUAAAGCGUGCGCAGGCGGUUCGCCAAGUCAGGUGUGAAAUCCCUCAGCUUAACUGGGGAACUGCGUCUGAUACUGAGUGGCUUGAGUGCAGGAGAGGAAUGCGGAAUUCCAGGUGUAGCGGUGAAAUGCGUAGAUAUCUGGAGGAACACCGGUGGCGAAGGCGGCAUUCUGGACUGUAACUGACACUGAGGAACGAAAGCCAGGGGAGCAAACGGG